UGUAAACAUCCUACACUCUCAGCUGUGGAAAGUAAGAAAGCUGGGAGAAGGCUGUUUACUCU
This is a microRNA precursor of Ailuropoda melanoleuca (giant panda), 62 nucleotides long. Ensembl annotates it as microRNA 30c-2. Lineage: Eukaryota; Metazoa; Chordata; Mammalia; Carnivora; Ursidae. The record is from Ensembl.